UCUGGUGACGAUGGCGAAGAGGUCACACCCGUUCCCAUCCCGAACACGGAAGUUAAGCUCUUCAGCGCCGAUGGUAGUAAGGGGCCUCCCCUUGCAAGAGCAGGACGUUGCCAGGC
RNAcentral lists this ribosomal RNA (116 nucleotides) under Lederbergia wuyishanensis. Lineage: Bacteria; Bacillati; Bacillota; Bacilli; Caryophanales; Bacillaceae. RNAcentral also lists the same sequence under 1 other name. The record is from RNAcentral.